GCGCGUGCUGGCAAUUCUGGUGAAAGGCCAUUAUCCCCAAUGAAAACUUACUCCCUGCGGUCGAACAUAUAUCUGCCUGCGUUUGUGGCAAGCGAAAAUAGAUUGCCCAAAAUGAUGCGCACAAGAUUCAUGCGGCAGUACAGCUCGUUAAUUUUAGCGUUCAUUUUUGGGGUUAUCGUGACCCGGUUGUUCUGCUGGCACACGGCGGAGAUCGAGAGCAUCACAUUAAAAACAGCGGAGGAGCAAGUUUUAAAGGUGGAAUCAACAGGGAAAAAAAUAAUGCUAACUACGCCAACUUACAACUCUCCGAAACCUACAACGGUUUCAAAUUACGUGGACUUCGGGGACGACGCUGGUAAAGUUAAAGGAGAAGAAAUCGCGACUGAAGAGCCAACUUUGAAAAGAGUAGAUUAUCCCCCACUAUUAAGUAACAAGAAACUAAUUGUAACACCUCAAGCAUGCCCGAACGACGAUUUAUACCUUUUGAUCCUAGUGAUUUCUACUGGUCGCAACUUUGAGGCAAGAAAGGCUAUUCGAAAAUCAUGGGGAAGAGCGGACACUUCCAAAAGGAACGUUACAACUCCGGAAAGUGUUCGUGUCAUUUUCGUCGUUGGUUCGGACGAGAAAAGUGACAGCCGAGUUACAAAGGAGGCAAAACGUUACAAAGAUAUCCUACGAGGAAACUUCGACGAUGUUUAUCAUCAAAACGAAUUCCAUUCUGUAAAAGCUUUGUUAGCCUUCAAAUGGGCUACGCUCUCCUGCCGUUCUAAAUUCAUCUUAAAAGUGCUCACUGAGAGCUUUGUCAAUGUUCCAGCCACUAUGGAAUGGUUAAGGAGCAAAAAGCCAGAGAGCUCAGACGUGCGGGAACUAUAUACAGGGUUCUGCCACGGACAUGAUACUGGAGGGGCCGCGGUGAUAAGGAAUAAAGAGAGCCCUUGGUACAUAACUGAGGAGGAGUGGCCAGAGGGAAGACUUCCGCCAUACGCCUCGGGAAUGGGAAUAGCCAUGUCUUUUGAUGUUGUAUCAAGGCUGGUGAAACUAUCAACAGAGGGCUCUACGUUACAUAUUGAGGACGUCCAUAUCGGUAUUCUAAUGAAGAAGCUAUCUCUCACUUGUCAAGAUGACAAUUCGCGCUUUGACACGGCUUACACUACGAUGCUGACGGAAUGUGAAGACCUCAAGUUCUGCGUGCUCGGUGGAGUUCCAGCCAAAGACAUGUACUAUUUGUAUCAGAAUGUUAUCAACCUCAAAGAGAUUUGCUAAAGACCUUUAGAUAAUUCCUGGCACAAAUCUCUUAAUCAACGGACCUCCCCACUACUUGGACUUUGGGAUGAUGAAAAAUUCGAAUGUUCUUUUAAAAAAUAGUGUUGCAUAUCAACAACGUAUAUAACGCUUACUUUGAUUAUUGUAAAUAUUUUUGCUAUUAUCAAUCUUUAAACUAAGUCACAAGGAUUAUAGUAAUGUACUUUGAAGAUACUUAUUGUGUUUCUGAAAUGUUAAUAGAAAUCUGAGUAACUUUUUUCAAGGACUUUGGCAAGGCGCACAUACGCAGGACCCGUGCUAUAGCGUGGUCGCUUUCGCGCUCAAAUCCAACCUUCUGGGAAUACCGCCUAUUGGAAUUUUGCAUGCACAAAUUAAAAGGCGCCAGAUUUAGUAUAACUUAUAAUACGGGUUUAUGUUCCUUCGUAAUUUGUACUGAACCUUGGGGCAGGUCCGUUACCCUGUAUCCUGUACAUUCACACAGGGUGACCGUGACGCUUUCUAGCGCUGACUUUGAUGUCACAAUGCAAAUGAACUACGUAAAUCGUUCCACUGAUUUCAGUCAGUUUUACAGACUCGCUGAGAGUAACUGCACAAUGCCGUCGCUUCUCAGUAUUUAUCUUAUGGCUAUACUUGUGUUCUUUAACAGCGUCAAAUACGUGAAACCUCCGCAUUUUGGAAAUGAUGCAAAGAUGAGAAUUACGAAAAACAGCUACCUACUGACCAGGUCGGAAGUGGCCAGAAACGAUUGGAAAUCGUUCGAUACAAUUCGACUCACACAGACAUUUAGAGGGACUUAUAUUUUUGAGACAGAAAAUCCCCACGUUGUCUUCAAGCCUAUCCGACUCUUUCCUAAGAAAGACAAGACGACACCCGGGGAAAAUCUGCUGAGUGAAGGCGAGAGAAGACUUGCGACAGAUGACACUAAGCAAGAAACUACACUGGCAACAGCAGACCAGCACAUGCUAAUAAGGUGUAGGGUGGACAUGGUAGAUAGGUGCGCAAACACAGACUUUCUGCUUCCCUACGAUGUUGACGUUAUCAAGUCUGAUGCUAUUGCCAGUAGACUUGAGAAAGCUAAGAAUGAUACCUCACAGUUCUUUGGUUCAGCUAUUGUUGAGUGGCCAUCAGUAUCUACCGCUACCAGUGAGCGAUUCCACUCGAUGCCCAAAAUAUGGCGGGGCCAAGUGAGCAACAUAGUACACAAACUAGGAAAAGCUUGGAGCAUUCUGGCGGAUUUUAGCCAGGAACCCAAUGGAAAUGCUGGAAAAAGUAUAGAGCUAGUUUCAAACGGUACAAUGGCUCAAAACGUCACAAUGAAUCGCAUUAACGUCCAGACCAUAGACGCAAAUACUUUUAAUGGUACUACGGGCCAGACAUCAAAUGGGGCUACUGUCCGGAGCAACACCGAACAAGAACCAAACUAUACAAAUACGAGGCUGACGAGGAAUACGUUUGUAAAUCGCCAUAGCAGAAGAAGAAUGAGGGCAAAGAAACAUGACGGACUAGAGACUAGGAUUUUGACACCACUUUUAGACAAGCUGUACAGUCAUCUGCAAGAUGGUUGGAGUCAAGUUCCUGACGCGUUGACCUUAGUGAAUUAUCUGGUACAUAACUUCAAACAAGGCCUUCAGAAACGCCACAGGGUGCCAGAGGGACGACCAAAGGUCCGCCUUAGGGACUAUGCCAAAAGGCCCGGGAAGACCAUAGCAUCGCUGUUAGGUCUACUCUUUAUUGUUCUCGCUGUGUGUUGUGCGCGGAGAUUUGUUUCUUGGCGCAGGCAGAGAAUGCCUCCUUUUGUACAUCGACGCGGCAAGAAAAGACGUCGCGGGAACUCCUACAGGAUUCUUGUGAAUGACUUUUUGAGAUGGAUCGGCGAGACUACAGUUCAUCCCGUCUUUGCAAAACUACAAAUUGUUCUUUCAAGAGAAAACUUGAUUCACAUCUGGUUAUGGAUUCUACAACUUAAAGAAACCUUUGAUGGCUAGCUGCACGCAGUUCGCUUUUAAAACAAUUCUUCCUCUUUCAGGUUCGCCCGAAGAAAUUUCUAUAUUAAAAAAAAAAACAAAAA
RNA transcript from Nematostella vectensis (starlet sea anemone), 3331 nucleotides. RefSeq lists it as uncharacterized. The record is from RefSeq and is a predicted model, not a curated record. NCBI's taxonomy places the organism in Eukaryota, Metazoa, Cnidaria, Anthozoa, Actiniaria, Edwardsiidae. The transcript is spliced from 5 exons.